Molecule: non-coding RNA, 30 nt
Filed under: Mus musculus (house mouse)
Lineage: Eukaryota; Metazoa; Chordata; Mammalia; Rodentia; Muridae
Source: RNAcentral
UAAAACAAAAUACGCUCAGUGAAUGAUUGC